RNAcentral lists this ribosomal RNA (335 nucleotides) under uncultured Planctomycetales bacterium. RNAcentral's name for it is "bacterial SSU rRNA". It matches the Rfam family "Bacterial small subunit ribosomal RNA", at positions 473 to 806 of the family's 1533-position model. Lineage: Bacteria; Pseudomonadati; Planctomycetota; Planctomycetia; Planctomycetales. The record is from RNAcentral.
CUAAGGCUCCAGAGGAAGCCACGGCUAACUCUGUGCCAGCAGCCGCGGUAAUACAGGGGCGGCAAGCGUUGUUCGGAAUUAUUGGGCGUAAAGAGCACGUAGGCGGCCUUGCAAGUCAGUCGUGAAAGCCUUCCGCUUAACGGAAGAAUGCCAGCUGAUACUACAGGGCUUGAGUACGGGAGGGGAGAGUGGAACUUCUGGUGGAGCGGUGAAAUGCGUAGAUAUCAGAAGGAACGCCGGCGGCGAAAGCGACUCUCUGGCCCGAAACUGACGCUGAGUGUGCGAAAGCUAGGGGAGCAAACGGGAUUAGAUACCCCGGUAGUCCUAGCCGUAAA